GCAUUGUUUAGCCUUGCAACUCUUGUUUUCCCUUUCUAGGGUGGCUGUACAUUUGCCAAGGAACAAAUAACAUAUCUCUUUUUCUUCUCUAUCGGUGGAAAUAUACCUAAUGAGAGGAAUGGAUCAUAUGUUUUGUACGUGUAGGGAAUUUUGCAAUCUCAAGUUUAUUAUGCUAUCAUAACUACAAGAACUGUAGAUUUAAACUGGAAGAUAAGAGCUUUCAGAGUUUUACCCAUGUUUCUCUUGCCUGCAUUAUCGACUCUGGCUUAUACGAUAUUUCUUAGCUUCAUAAGAAUGUAUUGCAAACGUUUUACAAAGGUCUCCAAAGUGGUUGUCUAUCAUUUGGCACUCGUGGAAAAGGAGGACUUAAUAUGGUUGGCAUCGUAGAUCUCUUGCUUUACUGUAGGAUCCAUGUCUCCCGGGUGCUUUCGGCAUUGAGAUUAAGUUAGUGGCAUGGUCAUAUGUUGUUUGGACCGAUUUGGAUCGACAUAAUUUGGAAAUUAAUUUUUGUAUGUGCAAGGAAAGUAUGAAGAAAUCGAUCCUCAACAUCUUGAAGACUUUUUUUAUAUCAUAGACAAUACCUACAAUAGAGUUUGGUAACUCUACUCAUGUAUUGUUUAGUUUAUGUCAUUCCUUGGACAAGUUUAGUCAUAAUCAAGUUUGGUUAGAACAUAAUGUUUGUAUUUAUUUUGAUUCUGACGGUGGUUGAGAUGAAGGCUUAAAUAUUGAAGUUGUAUCUAUUCCUGAAACUGUGGUGACUCAUGGCCGCGGCGACCCAGCGGCAACACAAUAUCCAAUUAUCUAAUUUGGACCCUUCAAAGUAGACAACCAACCUCUUAAUGUAACUUUUUUUUACAAAUGAUGAUCAAUGUUACUUGUUGAUAGGUUACAUAGUUAAACUUCUUGCUUUUUUGUUGUUGGAGUAAAAGUAUUGUAUAUAUAAACACAAUAAUGAGAUUUCAUUUUGUAUAUGCACAUGUAAAAGAGAAAUAUUAUACUUUCUAAAAGAAUAUUAAUUCUAUUGAUUUGUUGGCGUAAAAAAAAAGUAUUUGUUGGCGUA
This is a long non-coding RNA of Cucumis melo (muskmelon), 1060 nucleotides long. RefSeq lists it as uncharacterized. The record is from RefSeq and is a predicted model, not a curated record. The transcript is spliced from 4 exons. Lineage: Eukaryota; Viridiplantae; Streptophyta; Magnoliopsida; Cucurbitales; Cucurbitaceae.